AUACGGAGGAUGCAAGCGUUAUCCGGAUUUAUUGGGUUUAAAGGGUGCGUAGGCGGUUUGCUAAGCGGGAGGUGAAAUGCCGGCGCUCAACGUCGGAAGAGCCUCCCGAACUGGUGGACUUGAAUGACUCUGCCGUGGGAGGAAUGUGUAGUGUAGCGGUGAAAUGCUUAGAGAUUACACAGAACACCGAUUGCGAAGGCAUCUCACGAAGGGUUGAUUGACGCUGAGGCACGAAAGCGUGGGGAUCAAACAGGAUUAGAUACCCUGGUAGUCCACGCAGUAAACGAUGAUGGCUAACCGCUGGGCUUAUCAGUUCAGUGGCCAAGCGAAAGCGAUAAGCCAUCCACCUGGGGAGUACGACCGCAAGGUUGAAACUCAAAUUAAUUGGCGGGG
RNAcentral lists this ribosomal RNA (393 nucleotides) under uncultured bacterium. RNAcentral describes it as "partial 16S ribosomal RNA". It matches the Rfam family "Bacterial small subunit ribosomal RNA", at positions 523 to 918 of the family's 1533-position model. The record is from RNAcentral.